AUUGAACGCUGGCGGCAUGCCUUACACAUGCAAGUCGAACGGCAGCGCGUCCUUCGGGAUGGCGGCGAGUGGCGAACGGGUGAGUAAAGCAUCGGAACGUGCCCGGUAGUGCGGGAUAGCUCGGCGAAAGCCGGAUUAAUACCGCAUGAGAUCCGAGGAUGAAAGCAGGGGACUCGCAAGAGCCUUGCGCUACUGGAGCGGCCGAUGUCAGAUUAGGUAGUUGGUGGGGUAAAAGCCUACCAAGCCUGCGAUCUGUAGCUGGUCUGAGAGGAUGAUCAGCCACAUCGGGACUGAGACACGGCCCGAACUCCUACGGGAGGCAGCAGUGGGGAAUUUUGGACAAUGGGCGCAAGCCUGAUCCAGCCAUGCCGCGUGCAGGAUGAAGGCCUUCGGGUUGUAAACUGCUUUUGUACGGAACGAAAAGACUCUUUCUAAUAAAGAGGGUCCAUGACGGUACCGUAAGAAUAAGCACCGGCUAACUACGUG
This 486-nucleotide ribosomal RNA is filed under the name uncultured bacterium. RNAcentral describes it as "bacterial SSU rRNA". It matches the Rfam family "Bacterial small subunit ribosomal RNA", at positions 30 to 507 of the family's 1533-position model. The record is from RNAcentral.